CUCAACCAGACGACAUGACGUUCCUCUUUUUGCUGAGCAUUGCUGCCAGCGCUCCACUGCUCUCAGAGGAGAUUAUCACACAGGCUCCCGCCGACAUCAUUGAGGCGAUGGGGCGCUCGAUCUCGAUUGAAUGUUCUCACAACAUACCGAGCUACAACCAGAUUUUGUGGUAUCAGCAGCGUGGUGUGAGCAUGGAGCUCAUUGGGUACAUGUACCACACAACUUCCACGAUGGAAAAAUCAUUUGAGGACGUGGAGUUGAAUGGCAGCGCACAAUCCGGCAAAACGUGCAAAAUGGUCAUUCCCAAGCUGCGCCUGAACAGCAGUGCUGUUUACUACUGUGCAGCUAGUUACCACGGUGCAGACCGAGCUUUUUUCGGCGAGGGAACCAAACUCACUGUUUUAGAACCAAACGUCAACAUCACACUGCCUACGGUGACGUUAUUCCCACCGUCGGAACACGAGUGUGCCAAGGACAAAGAGGCCAAGGUCAAGACGCUGGUUUGCGCGGCUACUGACUUCUACCCCGACCACGUCAGAGUGGUCUGGAUGGUGGACGGUGAGAAGCGAGACAGGGGCGUAGCAACGGACCCCGAGGCUGCGCGGCGAGGGGUCUACUACCACCUCACCAGCAGGCUGAGAGUCCCAGCUCGCGAAUGGACGCACGAGAGAAGGAAAUUCACCUGUGUCCUGACGUUCUUCAACGGAAAGGAAAAUAUCAAAGUUGAGAAGUCAAUCAACGGCAAAGAAGGCUCAUCUGAAGACCAAUAUAACCGAGAGAGCUUCCUGAGGUUGACGCAGAGCGCCAAGCUGUCGUACGGCGUCCUCAUUGCCAAGAGCUGCGUCUAUGCCGGCUUCGUGGCAUUACUGCUGUGGCGGCUCGGGGUGUCUGGAAAAAAAAACUGAAGGAGGAACACUUUUUGUUGUGUUUGUUUUAUUCACUUUGUUGUCUUGCAUUCACAAUUUUUCAUAUUAAAAACUAUAAAAAAUUUGCUUCUGGCUGCUUGUUAAAUCACGUUUAUUUGUCUGGCAUCGAAAAAAAAAAAGACUUCAGAUACACAGUUGACUUUAAACUAGUAAAUAUUAUCAUAUUCAUUAAUAUUACGAUAUCAAAUAAAUAACAGUAAGUAUGUGACACAUAUAACAAAUGAGUAGUUAUAACAACAAUAAUAAUAUUAUUAAAUGAAUAAGAAACAUUAAAAAUAAAAAAUAAUGAUAAUUAUGACAUCAACUAAAGGCUUCAGAAGAGACAUUCUUUAAAAUAUAAAUGCAUAAUUUGUUUAUUGGCUACAGAGAGCAUUUAUGUACAUAUAGUAUAUGGUGGAAAACACUCAGGUGGCUUGAAGUUCUGCUCUGAGACCCCCAAUUUGGCCAAAUUUCAAAACUGUUCUAUAUGCAUGUGUAAUACAUCAUUGGAAAGUUUAAAACCAUUAUUUUCUGAUGGAAGAAAAAAAUUGAGCAAGAGGGCAUUUAAAUUUUUUUUUAUUAUAAUAAUUUAAGACACCAUGAUUUUAACGAGAUAUUAUCGCGUACAUACCUCAUUUCGAUCCCAAAACUGUAGCAUGUAUCACCAAGUGUCAAGACACAGCUGUGAAUGGCCACAGUUGGACUUUUGGAGGAUUUCAUGGGUGAAAUAGGGUAAUAUAACAAGGGUCGCGAUGCAGAAUUCGCAGACAUCAAGGAGUGGUCAAGAUUUCCUCUUUUCAAAUAUUGACACUUUUAAAGUUUUUGUUUUCUAUUUUUCUUUGGAUCAAUUAUUUAUCAUCUAAAAUAUAAGGGAAAAUGCGACAGCAACAACAACAAAAAAAAUACAAUUGAGCGAUAGUUUUGAGGUAGAUAACCCCUGACCUAUUUACAGACACUAUUUUUUUUUAUUGAGACGUAAUUUGUUUAAAAGUUUAAAAUAUGCAAGUGAAUAAUUUGUUUAGGUCGUUUUUUUUUUUUUUUUUUUUUUUUUUUACUAAAUAUUAGACAUCAAUUAAUGAUUCUAAGCUAAAAAAAUAUAGACAUUUCGAAUAAUAAAUAUACUGUAAUUAUUUACCUUCUUUUUAUGGCUGGGUUGAAACAUAAGCAUUUGCGCAGUGUCUGUAAACGGGGGUCUCCAGUGUAAAAUGGACAAACUAAAAAUAGUCCGGGGGCAUAAUGUGCCAUGAAACUGCUAUGGCAGCAUAUAGACAUGUUGUUCUUUAAAAAAAACAACAGUUCUUUUGGCUAAAAAUGCAAGAGCAGAAACUGCUUUUUCAGCCUUGUCUGUUUUCUGCCACGUAUAUAUAUAUAUUAGUGCUGUCAAACGAUUAAAAAAUUGAAUCUAGUCAAUCAUAUGUCAACUGUGUGAUUAACCCUUUAACACCGAACGUGUCGGCAGCAACGCGUUUAUGCAUAUCGUCUUUGAAGCUUCGUCACGCUGUAAUUACGUCACUCACGUGCCGCUGGUUGGUCUCGUUUGAAAGUGCGGAAGUUGAUGUCCACACCAGUUUUUAUUUGAAGUCAAUCGACCAAGAAAAACGGGAGAUAAUGUCAUUUGAGUUUUAUAGUUUUAUUGCACUCGUAAAUAUGCAUUAAAACGCUGCAUGGACCAUGUAUCUAUCUCCAUAUUUCCAUCAUUUCUUGUCCUUUUUCAAAACCGAAAGCAGCACAAAAGACUACAGAUCCCAAGAGCCGUUGUGAAGUCAAGAAGGACGAACCGAACAUUUUUAAUAAAUUUCCCAGGCAGGCGCCAACUAAUGAAAGGGAGGCAUGCGAAGCAAGCAACGGCCGGUUGGAUUGUGCGAGUGACUUUGAAACGUGCAGAAUGAAUCAAAGCUACAUUUAGCGCAAGCUAAUGCAUUAUUUCAUUAACUCAAGGAAGAAGUUGAGCCGUAUUUGUCGUUGUUUUCUUUGGAUGAGUCAGCGUCUCGGCGAGUAGAAGUGACAGCAGCGCGCAAACGGCAAAAGAGUAGGCUGUGUGACGCAGCUCCGUGACCUGUUCAAGAAAAAGCUUUAUUGAGUGCGCAAAAAAAAAUCUUUAUUGGGUCGCAUGCCUGAAAAGUUUGAAUUGAACUGAACUACUUGUCAAUAUUUUUUAAAAUACUUUUUUUCAAUGUUAUAUAUAUAUUUUUUCUUCACUAUAAUCUUUUCCAUUUUUAUGUAGAUGUGUGUUCGAGAAGCUUGAUUGCAUGUACGUAUAUACUUUGAUAAGGUGAUGGGUACAACACCUAACUUCACAGAGAUAUCCUCCAAACCCUUUUUGUGUUAGAUGAUAUACAGUAUAUAUUUUUUUCUCAUUAUUUUGCACUGUAUAUAACCUGUUUUGACCAUAGUCUGUGUAAAGGCCAAAAACGCCUAUGACCAU
This is a non-coding RNA of Corythoichthys intestinalis (scribbled pipefish), 3330 nucleotides long. The record is from the annotation of a RefSeq genome assembly. NCBI's taxonomy places the organism in Eukaryota, Metazoa, Chordata, Actinopteri, Syngnathiformes, Syngnathidae.